Molecule: ribosomal RNA, 379 nt
Filed under: uncultured bacterium
Lineage: Bacteria
Description: bacterial SSU rRNA
Rfam family: Bacterial small subunit ribosomal RNA
Source: RNAcentral
UAAUACGUAGGGGCCAAGCGUUGUCCGGAUUUAUUGGGCGUAAAGAGCUCGUAGGCGGUUCGGCAAGUCGACGGUGAAAUCUCCACGCUCAACGUGGAGGGGUCCGUCGGUACUGCCGUGACUCGAGUCCGGUAGGGGAGAAUGGAAUUCCCGGUGUAGCGGUGAAAUGCGCAGAGAUCGGGAGGAACACCCGUAGCGAAGGCGGUUCUCUGGGCCGGUACUGACGCUGAGGAGCGAAAGCGUGGGGAGCAAACAGGAUUAGAUACCCUGGUAGUCCACGCCGUAAACGUUGGGCACUAGGUGUGGGGUUCUAUCAACGGACUCCGUGCCGUAGCUAACGCAUUAAGUGCCCCGCCUGGGGAGUACGGCCGCAAGGCUA